RNAcentral lists this small nucleolar RNA (81 nucleotides) under Pogona vitticeps (central bearded dragon). RNAcentral describes it as "Small nucleolar RNA snR60/Z15/Z230/Z193/J17 (ENSPVIG00000000535.1)". It matches the Rfam family "Small nucleolar RNA snR60/Z15/Z230/Z193/J17". From Rfam's summary of the family: The members of this family belong to the C/D class of snoRNAs which contain the C (UGAUGA) and D (CUGA) box motifs. Most of the members of the box C/D family function in directing site-specific 2'-O-methylation of substrate RNAs. The record is from Rfam by way of RNAcentral. Lineage: Eukaryota; Metazoa; Chordata; Lepidosauria; Squamata; Agamidae.
AGAAUGCAUGUGAUGACAACAUAGUUCAGCAGAAAAUCUGUGAUGAACAAUUAUGUCUUUCGCUCCUGUCUGAGGCAUCCU